GACGAACGCUGGCGGCGUGCCUAAUACAUGCAAGUAGAACGCUGAAGAGAGGAGCUUGCUCUUCUUGGAUGAGUUGCGAACGGGUGAGUAACGCGUAGGUAACCUGCCUUGUAGCGGGGGAUAACUAUUGGAAACGAUAGCUAAUACCGCAUAACAAUGGAUGACCCAUGUCAUUUAUUUGAAAGGGGCAAAUGCUCCACUACAAGAUGGACCUGCGUUGUAUUAGCUAGUAGGUGAGGUAACGGCUCACCUAGGCGACGAUACAUAGCCGACCUGAGAGGGUGAUCGGCCACACUGGGACUGAGACACGGCCCAGACUCCUACGGGAGGCAGCAGUAGGGAAUCGUCGGCAAUGGGGGCAACCCUGACCGAGCAACGCCGCGUGAGUGAAGAAGGUUGUCGGAUCGUAAAGCUCUGUUGUAAGUCAAGAACGAGUGUGAGAGUGGAAAGUUCACACUGUGACGGUAGCUUACCAGAAAGGGACGGCUAACUACGUG
RNAcentral lists this ribosomal RNA (497 nucleotides) under uncultured bacterium. RNAcentral's name for it is "partial 16S ribosomal RNA". It matches the Rfam family "Bacterial small subunit ribosomal RNA", at positions 28 to 507 of the family's 1533-position model. The record is from RNAcentral.